GACGAACGCUGGCGGCGUGCCUAACACAUGCAAGUCGAGCGGGGUUGAGGCGAGAGGUAACUCGAACUUCUACCUAGCGGCGGACGGGUGAGUAACGCGUGGGCAACCUGCCUCAAGGUUUGGGAUAACAGCCCGAAAGGGCUGCUAAUACCGGAUAUGCCUAUGGCCUCGCAUGGGGCUAUGAGCAAAGGGGAAACCCGCCUUGAGAUGGGCCCGCGUCCCAUCAGCUAGUUGGUGAGGUAACAGCUCACCAAGGCGACGACGGGUAGCCGGCCUGAGAGGGUGACCGGCCACACUGGGACUGAGACACGGCCCAGACUCCUACGGGGGGCAGCAGUGGGGGAUCUUGCACAAUGGGCGAAAGCCUGAUGCAGCGACGCCGCGUGAGCGAAGAAGGCCUUCGGGUUGUAAAGCUCUGUCUGGAGGGACGGAACAAAAUGACGGUACCUCCGGAGGAAGCCACGGCUAACUACGUGCCAGCAGCCCGCGGUAAAUACUACGUACGUACGUACGUAC
This 516-nucleotide ribosomal RNA is filed under the name uncultured bacterium. RNAcentral describes it as "bacterial SSU rRNA". It matches the Rfam family "Bacterial small subunit ribosomal RNA", at positions 33 to 541 of the family's 1533-position model. The record is from RNAcentral.